AAAGGCGAAAAGAACCCCGGCGAGGGGAGUGAAAAAGAACCUGAAACCGUGUACGUACAAGCAGUGGGAGCCCCACCACCAAAGCAUUCUCUGGUGUUGAAGGCCCUGCAAAGCAGCAUCGCGGUGGCGGAGCGUCGUUUGCGACGCCCAACACACAAAACAAGCGGUGAAUGCUUUGGGGUGGGGUGACUGCGUACCUUUUGUAUAAUGGGUCAGCGACUUAUAUUCUGUAGCAAGGUUAACCGAAUAGGGGAGCCGGAGGGAAACCGAGUCUUAAUUGGGCGUUAAGUUGCAGGGUAUAGACCCGAAACCCGGUGAUCUAGCCAUGGGCAGGUUGAAGGUUGGGUAACACUAACUGGAGGACCGAACCGACUAAUGUUGAAAAAUUAGCGGAUGACCUGUGGCUGGGGGUGAAAGGCCAAUCAAACCGGGAGAUAGCUGGUUCUCCCCGAAAGCUAUUUAGGUAGCGCCUCGUGAAUUCAUCUCCGGGGGUAGAGCACUGUUUCGGCUAGGGGGCCAUCCCGGCUUACCAACCCGAUGCAAACUGCGAAUACCGGAGAAUGUUAUCACGGGAGACACACGGCGGGUGCUAACGUCCGUCGUGAAGAGGGAAACAACCCAGACCGCCAGCUAAGGUCCCAAAGUCAUGGUUAAGUGGGAAACGAUGUGGGAAGGCCCAGACAGCCAGGAUGUUGGCUUAGAAGCAGCCAUCAUUUAAAGAAAGCGUAAUAGCUCACUGGUCGAGUCGGCCUGCGCGGAAGAUGUAACGGGGCUAAACCAUGCACCGAAGCUGCGGCAGCGAACGUAUCACCCAAGACAACUUUACGGAGUUGACGAUUGACGGAGCGAAGCGACGUCAAAGCGUUCAUUAAAGUCGAGUUGGCUUAGGGAUACGUUCGUUGGGUAGGGGAGCGUUCUGUAAGCCUGUGAAGGUGUGUCGUGAGGCAUGCUGGAGGUAUCAGAAGUGCGAAUGCUGACAUAAGUAACGAUAAAGCGGGUGAAAAGCCCGCUCGCCGGAAGACCAAGGGUUCCUGUCCAACGUUAAUCGGGGCAGGGUGAGUCGACCCCUAAGGCGAGGCCGAAAGGCGUAGUCGAUGGGAAACGGGUUAAUAUUCCCGUACUUGGUGUUACUGCGAAGGGGGGACGGAGAAGGCUAUGUUGGCCGGGCGACGGUUGUCCCGGUUUAAGCGUGUAGGUGUGUGUUCCAGGUAAAUCCGGUUCACUUUAACACUGAGGCGUGACGACGAGGCACUACGGUGCUGAAGCAACAAAUGCCCUGCUUCCAGGAAAAGCCUCUAAGCAUCAGGUAACACGAAAUCGUACCCCAAACCGACACAGGUGGUCAGGUAGAGAAUACCAAGGCGCUUGAGAGAACUCGGGUGAAGGAACUAGGCAAAAUGGUGCCGUAACUUCGGGAGAAGGCACGCUGACACGUAGGUGAAGUGAUUUACUCAUGGAGCUGAAGUCAGUCGAAGAUACCAGCUGGCUGCAACUGUUUAUUAAAAACACAGCACUGUGCAAACACGAAAGUGGACGUAUACGGUGUGACGCCUGCCCGGUGCCGGAAGGUUAAUUGAUGGGGUCAGCGUAAGCGAAGCUCCUGAUCGAAGCCCCGGUAAACGGCGGCCGUAACUAUAACGGUCCUAAGGUAGCGAAAUUCCUUGUCGGGUAAGUUCCGACCUGCACGAAUGGCGUAAUGAUGGCCAGGCUGUCUCCACCCGAGACUCAGUGAAAUUGAACUCGCUGUGAAGAUGCAGUGUACCCGCGGCAAGACGGAAAGACCCCGUGAACCUUUACUAUAGCUUGACACUGAACAUUGAGCCUUGAUGUGUAGGAUAGGUGGGAGGCUUUGAAGUGUGGACGCCAGUCUGCAUGGAGCCGACCUUGAAAUACCACCCUUUAAUGUUUGAUGUUCUAACGUGGACCCGUAAUCCGGGUUGCGGACAGUGUCUGGUGGGUAGUUUGACUGGGGCGGUCUCCUCCUAAAGAGUAACGGAGGAGCACGAAGGUUGGCUAAUCCUGGUCGGACAUCAGGAGGUUAGUGCAAUGGCAUAAGCCAGCUUGACUGCGAGCGUGACGGCGCGAGCAGGUGCGAAAGCAGGUCAUAGUGAUCCGGUGGUUCUGAAUGGAAGGGCCAUCGCUCAACGGAUAAAAGGUACUCCGGGGAUAACAGGCUGAUACCGCCCAAGAGUUCAUAUCGACGGCGGUGUUUGGCACCUCGAUGUCGGCUCAUCACAUCCUGGGGCUGAAGUAGGUCCCAAGGGUAUGGCUGUUCGCCAUUUAAAGUGGUACGCGAGCUGGGUUUAGAACGUCGUGAGACAGUUCGGUCCCUAUCUGCCGUGGGCGCUGGAGAACUGAGGGGGGCUGCUCCUAGUACGAGAGGACCGGAGUGGACGCAUCACUGGUGUUCGGGUUGUCAUGCCAAUGGCACUGCCCGGUAGCUAAAUGCGGAAGAGAUAAGUGCUGAAAGCAUCUAAGCACGAAACUUGCCCCGAGAUGAGUUCUCCCUGAGACUUAGAGUCUCCUGAAGGAACGUUGAAGACGACGACGUUGAUAGGCCGGGUGUGUAAGCGCAGCG
RNAcentral lists this ribosomal RNA (2578 nucleotides) under Salmonella enterica subsp. enterica serovar Typhimurium. RNAcentral's name for it is "partial 23S ribosomal RNA". It matches the Rfam family "Bacterial large subunit ribosomal RNA", at positions 510 to 2880 of the family's 2925-position model. The record is from RNAcentral. Lineage: Bacteria; Pseudomonadati; Pseudomonadota; Gammaproteobacteria; Enterobacterales; Enterobacteriaceae.